GGGGCGAGAGGAAGAACAAGGGCUGGAGGUGGCCCCAGCACUCCCUUGCUUCUCCCAGCCGCGCCCUGCUCAGGCCAGGACUGGGCACAGGGGCCACCCCAGAGCGCUUCGCUGGGGGACCCCACAGCCCGUGCACAGCUGGGCAGAGCUGCCCUGCCAGGCCCCCUUGCAGCUGGGGGCACACGCUGGGCAUCCUUCCUCACCUGAAAAGCCACUCCAUCUCUGCAGUCCUCCAGCAGCUGGGCGCAGACCUGCAGGGCCCUCUUGCACACCCACGGCUUGUCCGAGGAGAGCCAGAACCACAGCACCUGGGGCAGAGCAGCUCUGUCUGCCAAGGGGCAUCUUUCCCUUCCCGCCAUCCCUCUCCAUUUCCCUCCCCUCCCUUCCUGGCACUUGCCCUGAGGGCCUGCCCUGCGGCACUGCCCCACUCUCUUCAGAUGCACCUGCUCCCACCCAGGAGCUUUUCCCUGCAGCCAGCUCCCUGCUGCAGCCAGCCAGGGGCUGCCUCUUGGCUUUCCCCCCUGCAGGGCCCACUUCUUGGCCUCCAGCACCCCAUGGAUACUCACCCCGGCGAUGUCUACAAAGUCCACAGGGCUUGGCUUUGUCUUCAGCAGGACUGCCAUGAGCCGGCCCAGAGCCUUCGUGGCCAUGUGCAGGGACUGAAAGCGGAGGAGAGGGACGGAGAUGCAGGAUCACGGCUGCUGCCAGCACACAGCUUGUGCUGGGAAGGGACAGCAAGUUACCUGGAGCUGCAGCACUGCCUGCUCUGCGUUCCUGAUCUUCCCAAUCUGCUCAGCCGCUGAGGGAAGUGGCAGGAUGGCCUGGCAGCAGUCAGACAGCAGGCUGAAAAUUUCCUCGCUGCUGAACGAGGUCUCCAGCUUGCUGGCAAGGGGAAAAAACAAGACGAGGGAAAAAAAAUAUAAGAGGAGUUCCUAGCGCUCUGCAGAGAGGGUCACAUGGCAUCUGGGCUUGUCCUCAUCAACAGCCCCAAAUCCAGCCAGCCUAGGCUGUGUCAGGGAAUGCUGCUCUUUGGGAGCUCCCCGACAGGAGGAACAUCAUCCCGCCUCACAGCCCCCGCAGCUCCUCGCUCUUACCUCCACUGCU
RNAcentral lists this long non-coding RNA (1104 nucleotides) under Anas platyrhynchos platyrhynchos (common mallard). Its description in RNAcentral is "lncRNA (ENSAPLG00000021356.1)". Lineage: Eukaryota; Metazoa; Chordata; Aves; Anseriformes; Anatidae. The record is from RNAcentral.